Molecule: transfer RNA, 64 nt
Organism: Cavia porcellus (domestic guinea pig)
Lineage: Eukaryota; Metazoa; Chordata; Mammalia; Rodentia; Caviidae
Rfam family: tRNA
About the family: Transfer RNA (tRNA) molecules are approximately 80 nucleotides in length. Their secondary structure includes four short double-helical elements and three loops (D, anti-codon, and T loops).
Source: Rfam
GGGGAUUUAGCUCAGUGGCAUAAGCACCUGCCUUGCAAGCAGCUGGUCGUGAGUUCAAUCCCUG